Molecule: small nucleolar RNA, 134 nt
Organism: Artibeus jamaicensis (Jamaican fruit-eating bat)
Lineage: Eukaryota; Metazoa; Chordata; Mammalia; Chiroptera; Phyllostomidae
Product: small nucleolar RNA SNORA51
Exons: 1
Source: RefSeq, a predicted model, not a curated record
GGCCUCCCAGUGCUUAGCACAGGCUGCGUUCUUACACCGCCUGUACAGAAGGAGGAGACAGAGUAAACCCACCCCAUAUACACACCUUGGCCCAGGCCUGUUGCCUGGUCAGUAUUGUGAAUGGGGGGACAUGU